AGAAUGCCAUCUCUAGGAUGCCAAUGGGCUGUGUCUACAGUACUAUGUAGGAAAGUGCUGCAAGAGUGACUCUGGAAGGUUGUGCUGAGAACUCUGAAGGCUUGCUGUGACUUUUUGGAGAGCCCAUUUUGCCUAAACAAGAACCACGAUUAUGUAAAGUUCUUUCUGUCACCUCUCUGAAGACCUGGUUCAUAUCUGCAGCUGCAACUCUAUCCCUGAACUCAUCUUUGAAACUACCCAGAGAUAGACUGUCAAGAGCUUCAGAGCUUUACAACAGGAUCUUCCAAGUGCCCUGAGAGGUCCGCGUCACCUUUAGGAGCUGUAACACUCACCGCGAAGGUCUGCAGCUUCACUCCUGAAGCCAGCGAGACCACGAACGCACCGGGAGGGAUGAACAACUCCGGACGGGAGGAACGAACAACUCCAGACGCGCCAUCUUAAGAGCUGUAACGCUCACUGCGAAGGUCUGCAGCUUCACUCCUGAAGCCAGCAAGACCACGAACCCACCAGAAGGAAGAAACUCUGAACACAUCUGAACAUCAGAAGGAACAAACUCCAGACACGCCACCUUUAAGAACUGUAACACUCACCGCGAGGGUCCGCAGCUUCGUUCUUGAAAUCAGUGAGAUGAAGAACCCACCAAUUCCAGACACAGUAACACCAGUUAUCACUGAUUGCAGUUCAUCAUAACAGAUAUAAUAAUAAUUUAAAAGUUUGAAAUAUUAUGAAAAUUACCAAAAUGUAACACAGACACAUGAAGCAUUGGAAAAAUGGCACCAAUAGUGUUGUUUGAUGUAGCAUUACCAUAAAUCUUAGAUUUGUAAAUAACAAAGUAUUUGUGAAGCACAGUAAAGCAAAGCACAAUAAAAAUGACGUGUGCUUGUAUUUUAAAAGAACAGAUUGAAUUGGGAAGGGUAGUUGAGGAACUGGAAGCAGAGAGAACAGGUACAAGAUUCACGUAGUAGUCCAAGAAAAUUAAAGCAAGUAGAAAAACUAACAGAAGUUCAGGAUAAAAGAUUUUGAGGCCUUAACUACACAUUUCCAGAAGGAAUGGAAAAAGGUCAGAAAUGAGAAUGUGGAAAUAUCCUCAGCUGAUUUGACUGUAAGUAGAAAGUGUUGGCAUAAAAAAAAUGGACGAAGCCAAAAAACUCAUGGAAUGAUGAAUAAUUAAAUAAAUUGAGGUCUCCUUAUCAAAAACAAAAAUGAAGACAUGUAGAUAGAAAUUUAUAUGUCUUUACUCUGUAAAGCUGGGAGAAUACCCAGAAGGUAUUUAGGAAGUAUGUGAUAAAAAUUUAAGAUUGGAGUUAAUGAACCAGAGAUAGGCAUGAGACACAUAAUAGGUAAUAAUACAGGUUAGCUGGUAAGAUCUUUGGAGCACAGCAAGCUUGGAUUUGAGUUAGUAAUAAUAAUUAUGCACUGCACAUUUUAGCCUUUAUAAUUUUUCACUGGUUCUUCCACUUAAUAGGCAUCUUUUAACAUCUAUUAAGUGUAGGAAAAUACUAAGAGCUGGAGAUACAGCAGUAAUAAAUAAAGUUUAUUUAAGUAAGUGUAAAGUUAAUAAAACACAGUCCCUAAUCUCAUUACUCUUACACUGAGAGAUUUUCACAUUCAAAAUUUACUGAGCACCUAUUGGGUACAGAGGACUUGGAUGGGCAAAUGAAUACAAUAUGUCUCUUGCUGUGUUGUUGGAACAAGUGGAAUGCUGGGGACAUCCAAAGAAAGGAGACCACAUGGAGGAGGUGAUAUUGGAUCUUGAGGGAUGAUUAAGAGUCAUCAAACAAACGACAUUUAUAUAUAUAUUAUAAUAUCAUCUCCUGUAAUCUCGCUCACACCCUGUGAGGACCAAGUAAAUAUAUUAAAGAUGUAUUUCUUAUAGAAUAUUCUGAGCAAGAUGAGAGAAAGGAUAGUAUGAUAGCCCUGUCAGUCCUUGUAUUCCUCUCCCUAAUUUCACUGUUUUGUUGAAAGUGUUUGUUUGGUUUUUUUAAUAGUUUUUAUUUUGUAUUUAGCUCUAGACAAAAGAACAGUACUAUUCCUUGAAAACAUUUAUUCUUUAGGGAUAUGAAGUGGUAUGUUUGCCCAACAAAAUACACAAUUUCUAAAAUAUUAUGACUAAUUCAAGCAAAUGUAUUCUCUAAAGAAAAAUUUCCACUUCACUUUGUCUACAUAGAGGUAGAUUUAAUAAACAAGUUAUAACAAAAGUCUUCUGUCAGUAUUUUUCCUCAGCACUAUUAUAAAGGGUGGUAAAAAUUCCUUUCUUUGACAAAAGAGACUUUUUCCUCUUUUCCCCCAAGACACUAAUGAAUAUAAAUGUGCAAGUAAAAUAUUUUCACUUAGAUUCACAGUGUCUGACACUAAUAUACUCUAGAGCAUUUAAAUUUUUCCUCAACUUAAAACUAACUGCCAAUUUUUAAAAUGUUAAUUAUUAUUCCCCAAAUUAAGUAAGAAUAAUAAUAUAUUUUGCAUAGCAAGCAUUGUGCCUUCUAAGAAAAGAGGCAUUUUAUUUUCUGUUUAACUAUCUUCUUUCUGUCGAUCAGUGUCAGUAGCUUGUCAAAAACAAGUCAAGGACAACCUGCUUUGAUAUCUAUGCAAAUAGGAUUCAAUUAUCCCCAAUGAGUUUGCAAAACUUGCAGAAGUCAUUAAUUUGAAAAACAUGAGGAUUAAUGCAGGGGAUUUGGAACCUAUGUCAAAGACGUUUUAAAAUUACUACCAUAUAAACUUUGAUUCUUAAACGCAGAAAAUGCCUAAUGCAGCUAAUUUUAACUACUAUGAACUAUAACUUACAUAAUAAAAACACAACUGGCUAACAUUAUUAUCCUCUUUCUUGCAUAAUUUGUCUAAAAAUUAACAUCUCAUGCUUCUCUUAACUGAAGAACUUCUUCUAACAUUUCCUUUAUGCAAGUCUGCCAAUAAUUAAUUCUUUCAAGUUUUUUUAUUUUGCCUGAAAAAAGUAUUUAUUUCUUCUUCAUUUUAAUAUAAUUAAUAGACUAUUUUAGCACAGUUUUAGAUUUUCUAAAAACUUGCAAAGAAACUGCAAAAAGUUUCUGUGAACCUCACCCCCAAUUUCUCCUAUGAUUAGUAUCUUACAUUACUAUAGUAUAAUUGUUACAAUUAAUGGAUUAAUAUUGAUAUAUAGUUACUAGCAAA
Long non-coding RNA from Homo sapiens (human), 3144 nucleotides. Ensembl annotates it as long intergenic non-protein coding RNA 2552. NCBI's taxonomy places the organism in Eukaryota, Metazoa, Chordata, Mammalia, Primates, Hominidae. The record is from Ensembl.